This 305-nucleotide ribosomal RNA is filed under the name uncultured bacterium. RNAcentral's name for it is "bacterial SSU rRNA". It matches the Rfam family "Bacterial small subunit ribosomal RNA", at positions 333 to 655 of the family's 1533-position model. The record is from RNAcentral.
AUAAUCCUACGGGGGGCAGCAGUGGGGAAUAUUGCACAAUGGGGGAAACCCUGAUGCAGCAACGCCGCGUGAGUGAAGAAGUCAUUCGUGAUGUAAAGCUCUCUCAGCAGGGAAGAAAAUGACGGUACCUGAGUAAGAAGCCCCGGCUAACUACGUGCCAGCAGCCGCGGUAAUACGUAGGGGGCAAGCGUUAUCCGGAUUUACUGGGUGUAAAGGGGGCGCAGACGGCGAUGCAAGCCAGGAGUGAAAGCCCGGGGCCCAACCCCGGGCCUGCUCUUGGAACUGCGUGGCUAGAGGGCAGGAGG